CGCAAGCCUGACGGAGCAAGACCGCGUGAGGGAGGAAGGCUCUUGGGUUGUAAACCUCUUUUCUCAGGGGAGAACAAAAUGACGGUACCAAAGGAAUCAGCCUCGGCUAACUCCGUGCCAGCAGCCGCGGUAAUACGGAGGAGGCAAGCGUUAUCCGGAAUUAUUGGGCGUAAAGCGUCCGCAGGUGGCGAUUCAAGUCUGCUGUCAAAGCACGGGGCUUAACUCCGUAAAGGCAGUGGAAACUGAAUAGCUAGAGUGCCGUAGGGGUAGAGGGAAUUCCCGGUGUAGCGGUGAAAUGCGUAGAGAUCGGGAAGAACAUCGGUGGCGAAAGCGCUUUGCUAGACCGAAACUGACACUCAGGGACGAAAGCUAGGGGAGCG
Molecule: ribosomal RNA, 380 nt
Filed under: uncultured cyanobacterium
Lineage: Bacteria; Bacillati; Cyanobacteriota
Description: bacterial SSU rRNA
Rfam family: Bacterial small subunit ribosomal RNA
Source: RNAcentral